RNAcentral lists this long non-coding RNA (1287 nucleotides) under Marmota monax (woodchuck). Lineage: Eukaryota; Metazoa; Chordata; Mammalia; Rodentia; Sciuridae. The record is from RNAcentral.
GUGAAGACCUGUAAAGACCCACUUCUAUCCCUAGUCUUCAUAUUCCAGACACCUGUGGUCCUAGAUUGUAGGAAUGUCUUCCCACUGUAUUUUUAAUAAUGUAAUCUGCCCUAUUCUCUGAAACCCAAAACAAAAGUGUAAUUAUAAACCACACAGAAGAUAUGGCCCAGGCCUCUUUUCCAUUCUUUGACUCUAAACAGGGGCCAACUGCUCUAGCCAGAAAACAGUCCUGUCCUCAGAGAUCCAUGCCACCUCUAUGCCCUAAGCCUUCUGACUUUUGCCAAGGCUGGUUCCAACAUUCAUAACAGAGGCUGACUAUAUCCAGUCUUAAGCGGGGAAAAGCUAAAGAGUUGAAAUAGGAAGGAAAUGAAUAUAUCUAUCUCUUACAGCAGGCAAGAGCCUGUGUGCUUUCUGAUAUUUAUCUCAUUUCAUGAUCAACACAGCCCUGUAAAGAAAGAAUAAUUGCACGGGGCUGAAGGAGCACGUCCAGCAUCACAGAGUUACCAAGUGCGUUUGUCUGCAUAAGAACCCAGUUCAGAUGCCAAGUUCAACCGAACCACAUUGAAGGCCAUAGGCAGAGGAGACAUCCAUUCAGCAUGGAUCUGGAAUGGAUUUGAUCUGGACAGAAGUUUUGUGUGCUAGUGUUUAAACCCCAGAUCGUCCCAUUACCAACCCUAAAAUCACCAAGUUCUGGAAUCAAGUUCCCAUUUAAUACAGUCUCCUCUUCAAAAUGCAAAAAGGCAGUUAGCUACGGUGACACUUCUGGUCUGGAGUGACUCUACUAUUUUGAGUAAUUGCUUCUCAACCACUUAUAGGCCUGUUGGACUCAGUGAAUUGCAGGUUUUGUGCCACUCAGUGAACUGGCCCACUGUCACUUGGUUCGUGGAGAGGAAACUGAACAGAUAUUAAAGUUGGGCUGACCGGAGCUGAAUCCCAGCCCUCCCCAUGCUGCCUGCUGCCCGGCCUCCCGGCCCUGGAAAAUGGCAGGAGCUGAAUACAUCUUGGCUUCUUUUCAUACAAAGAGGAUAAGAAACCACAAUGACCAGCCCUGAAGGACAGUGGUGUAACUUUUCAGAGCCCCCACCUACAAGGCAUCCAGGACACCCUCAAAGUGAAAUGUGAAAGAGUCUGGCACCAUAAAAACUCCUGUAUCCCUGCUCCUCAGCCCCAGCACUCCGUCCCUCAGUGGAGACAGCUCUGGGAUCUGAGCCUCACUGAACUCAUCAUCAGCUGCCUUACCUCCCCCACCUGCAUGUUUGCUACCCAUUUCCUACUGCUCUGUAUUAC